UGACAGUACCUGUACCUGGCGGGUGAGU
RNAcentral lists this small RNA (28 nucleotides) under Bombyx mori (domestic silkworm). RNAcentral's name for it is "piRNA piR-bmo-1973995". Lineage: Eukaryota; Metazoa; Arthropoda; Insecta; Lepidoptera; Bombycidae. The record is from RNAcentral.